RNAcentral lists this unclassified non-coding RNA (306 nucleotides) under uncultured fungus. Its description in RNAcentral is "partial contains small subunit ribosomal RNA, internal transcribed spacer 1, and 5.8S ribosomal RNA". The stretch from base 1 to 73 matches the Rfam family "Eukaryotic small subunit ribosomal RNA", at positions 1759 to 1831 of the family's 1831-position model. Lineage: Eukaryota; Fungi. The record is from RNAcentral.
UCAAACUUGGUCAUUUAGAGGAAGUAAAAGUCGUAACAAGGUUUCCGUAGGUGAACCUGCGGAAGGAUCAUUAACAAAUCCAUCAUAUGAUGACCCUACCUUGUGUGCACCUGUAAAUAACUGCCCUUUGGAGUAAAGGUUUGGACGGGAGGUAGGUGGUCCUUUUUGGCAGCCGCCGCCGCCGCCAAUCUUUUUCUAAAGGGCUUUUUUACAAACGUCUAUUGAACAAGUAAAAAAUUUUAAACCACAAUAAAUACAACUUUCAACAACGGAUCUCUUGGCUCUCGCAUCGAUGAAGAACGCAGC